AAAAAAAAAAAAAGAGUUGUAUUUGUCCUUAGUAAUGGAAAUGUUUUUAUGCUAUGUCUUUGUGACUUCUGUAACUAUUAAGUGUCCAUUCCUGUUUUUACUGCAACAAAUGCAACCAAAAUUUGUGGUUCAUUUAUAGCUUACCUGUGAUUUUAUCUUAUUUUUUCCACCCCAAUUUUAUAAUAUCAUUUUAACCUCGUGUGUGUCUAUUAAAUAAGCUGUCUUAAAUUCUUUUUAGGAGAAUCUAUGAUAAAACAUAAUCAUAAUUUAAAGGCUGCAUUAUUAAUUUCCUGUGUAAGAGACUCUAAUGUUGUAUUAAGUGUUGCCUUUGCCAUCUAUGUCCAACAUUAAACCUAACUUCUCCAUCGUCUGCAGGAAUGUUUACAUUCCUGUUCACAAGCAAUUGUGAUCUAAGAGAUAUCAGUUAUAGAUAUGAAUCUACAAGUAUUGGAGUCUGCCUGUUGAGGUUCCAUUGAGUGUAAAUUCAAUCCUGUGGAUCUGGAAAAGAUUAUGGGAUAUAAACAGAUGGAACCAAGGGACAGAAGCCUGGGAAAAGUGAUCAGGCCUGGAGAUGCACAAGCAAGAUUUUGGAGUUUACACCAAAGUGAGAAUUAAUGAUUAAAUUAUGAACUUGGAGAGAAAAAUGAGAUUCUGAAGUUUGGGAUGGAGGAAAAUGGUAGAAAAGGAUCAGAGAGAGAGCCUGGGAAGAUGACAGUUUUUUUGAAGGCAGAAGUGGCAUCUCUUCUGAAAGAAAAGAUAGGAAUGAAUGAAGAGCUACCUUGCCAUGAAGAUUCAUUACCUUUUCUUUGCUCUUUUCUUCCUUGGCCAGCUGUCUACCUCAGGAACUGAAGAUGCUUAUGAAGUCAUUAGUAUCAUGGACUGUAAAAAUCAAACACUGUGUAAUUCUCAGAAUACAACUAGACACUGCUCUCAUGGGAAGGAGAUUGAACUAUGUGUCUUGCGUCUUGGAAAAAAUGCAAAGCGACUCACUAACCAUGAAGAAACAGCAAAUUAGGAAGACAGGAUGAUCAAUUUCCUUGUCUUAUUAAAAAAUAAAGUCUGCUUUCUUUUCUCUCUC
This 1078-nucleotide long non-coding RNA is filed under the name Homo sapiens (human). RNAcentral describes it as "HSALNT0342740". The record is from RNAcentral. Lineage: Eukaryota; Metazoa; Chordata; Mammalia; Primates; Hominidae.